CCUACGGGUGGCAGCAGUGAGGAAUAUUGGUCAAUGGCCGGAAGGCUGAACCAGCCAUGCCGCGUGAAGGUCAGUGCCCUAUGGGCGUUAAACUUCUUUUGUGCGGGAGCAAUAAUGGUCACGUGUGGCCAGACGAGAGUACCGUACGAAUAAGCAUCGGCGAACUCCGUGCCAGCAGCCGCGGUAAUACGGGGGAUGCCAGCGUUAUCCGGAUUUAUUGGGGUUAAAGGGUGCGUAGGCUGUGAGGUAAGUCAGCGGUGAAAUGCCCCCGCUCAACGGGGUGAAGUGCCAUUGAUACUGCCUUGCUGGAAUGCGGAUGCCGUGGGAGGAAUGUGUGGUGUAGCGGUGAAAUGCAUAGAUAUCACACAGAACACCGAUUGCGAAGGCAUCUCACGGAUCCGCGAUUGACGCUGAUGCACGAAAGCGUGGGUAUCAAACAGGAUUAGAUACCCCUGUAGUC
This 460-nucleotide ribosomal RNA is filed under the name uncultured bacterium. RNAcentral's name for it is "partial 16S ribosomal RNA". It matches the Rfam family "Bacterial small subunit ribosomal RNA", at positions 338 to 795 of the family's 1533-position model. The record is from RNAcentral.